UCUGACAUUGGCCACAUAAGCUGCCCGGACGUUCCAGAAAACCCAAAAUCCAAACUCCUAUUCCUUCCGUUCGUUUCCUUUCUCAUCGUGGAUGUGAAAUCCAACGGUCCAAAUGGCUCGAGACGGAUACGACGUCCCAGCCGACCGUCAGGCCUCUCUAAAGAAUAAAACGGCCGUGUCGAGGAGCUGGAUACUGCUACAUUGCAACGGCGAGGACACGAUCCUGGACAUCGACAAGUACGCUAUCAUGAGCCGGAUUCAGAUUCACGCUCGCGAUCUUCGGAUCCUCGACCCACUUCUAUCCUAUCCGUCGACGAUUUUAGGCCGAGAUCAGGCCAUUGUUCUAAAUCUCGAGCAUAUCAAGGCCAUAAUCACUGCAGAAGAGGUGUUGCUUCAAGAUCCCACGGAUGAUAAUGUUAUUCCCAUUGUCAAGGAGCUUCGUAGGCGGUUGGCACCUGCAAAUAUCAUUCGCCAGGGAGAGGGAGAUGGGAAGGAACACCCAAGCCUGCAAAAUGAUGCUGAAGCUGGCGAAGAAGAUGGGUCUCCGUUUGAAUUCCGGGCCCUGGAGGUAGCGUUGGAAGCCAUUUGCAGUUUUCUUGAUGCAAGUACCACAGAACUGGAGACUGCUGCUUACCCAGCUUUAGAUGCGCUGACCUCCAAGGUUAACAGUCAUAACUUGGAUCAAGUGCGCAAGUUGAAGAGUGAAAUGACAAGGUUGAUUGCUCGAGUUGAAAAGGUAAGGGAUGAGCUUGAACAACUUCUGGAUGAUGAUGAUGAUAUGGCAGACCUUUACUUGUCAAGAAAACUGGCUGGCCCAUCAUCACCUGUUAGUGGCUCUGAUGUACAUGAUAAAUUCCCUGCCUCUCCAACCAUAGGCUCAAAGAUAGCUAGAGCAAGCAGGCCAAGCGUAGCAACGAUUCACGGAAAUAACGUCGAGGAACUUGAGAUGUUACUAGAGGCAUACUUCAUGCAAAUUGAUGGCACGCUGAACAAACUGACCACGCUACGUGAAUAUAUUGACGACACCGAAGAUUACAUUAAUAUUCAGCUUGACAAUCAUCGAAAUCAACUGAUUCAGCUAGAGCUCUUCAUUGGCACUAGCACUCUUAGCCUCCUUAUUAUUUCGUUGGUUGCCGGGAUCUUUGGCGUGAAUCUCCCAUUUACAUGGAAUCAAAACCAUGGAUAUCUAUUUAAAUGGGUGCUCGUCAUCACAGGAUCAGUUUCUAUCACCGUUUUCAUCCUCAUCCUAUCUUAUGCGCGCCGCAAAGGUCUAAUUGGGUCUUAAUGUCUUAAUACACUAGCAUUCCUCCUUCAGGAAAUGAUUCUGCUUCCCAACUGCUACAUUGAGGAUAAGACGUGGAUGCUGAAAUACUACAUCAAGAUUAAAAAAUAAAAAUCAGAUUGGUGACCAUCUGAUGCAGCAGCCAUUACUUACAGGGAUUCAUGAACUUGUGGUGAUCGUAUGGUCGUUGGAGGGAUUGAUCUGAUUUCAGGUGAAAGUACAAAUAAAUGAUGUAGAAUCAACAUUAGUGUCCUGUUAUUGUACUUAUAAUGUCGUAUCAUCACUGAUUAUUCCUGUUCUUUGUGACCCAUAUCAGAAAUUAAUCAGAGAGAGUGCUUGAUUUACCCAACUUCUUGUAUUUAUAUAUGAUGCCGAAUUAUCGGUCCGGAUGCAUCGGGACACGGACACAUGGUUUGGUGAUCCAGACAGUUGAUCUGAUGUAGAUGGCCCAGAUGUCUCCAAGGGAUCAAUGGCUUGCAAAUAGAUGGUUAAGAAAGAAAGAUAACAACCCAAUGAUUCCCCACCCAUAGCGGGCCUUAUCAGAUCAACAGCUUGAUGACCUAGCUGUGGGCCCCACUUGCUCCGGACGGUUG
Magnolia sinica is the source of this 1875-nucleotide RNA transcript. It is a transcript of the gene named magnesium transporter MRS2-I-like, with no coding region annotated. Lineage: Eukaryota; Viridiplantae; Streptophyta; Magnoliopsida; Magnoliales; Magnoliaceae. The transcript is spliced from 12 exons. The record is from RefSeq and is a predicted model, not a curated record.